This 1409-nucleotide long non-coding RNA is filed under the name Canis lupus familiaris (dog). RNAcentral describes it as "lncRNA (ENSCAFG00000057743.1)". Lineage: Eukaryota; Metazoa; Chordata; Mammalia; Carnivora; Canidae. The record is from RNAcentral.
UAAGUCCUCUUGUUGAAUAGAUCCUUUAAGUAUGAUAUAGUGUCCCUCUUCAUCUCUCACUACAGUCUUUGGGUAAAUUUUAGUUUAUCUGAUUAAGGAUGGCUACCCCUGCUUUCUUUUGAGGACCAUUUGAAUGGUAAAUGGUUCUCCAACCUUUUUUUUCAGGCUGUAGGUGUCCUUCUGUCUAAAAUGAGUCUCUUGUAGACAGCAAAUAGAUGGGUCCUGCUUUUUUAUCCAGUCUGAAACCCUGCGCCUUUUGAUAGGGUCAUUAAGCCCGUUCACAUUCAGAGUUACUAUUGAGAGAUAUGAGUUUAGUGUCAUCAUGAUAUCUAUUCAGUCUUUGUUUUUGUGGACUGUUCCACUGAACUUCUUCUUAAAGGAGAAUUUUAAGAGGCCCCCUUAAAAUUUCUUGCAGAGCUGGUUUGGAGGUCACAUAUUCUUUUAGUUGCUGCCUGUCUUGGAAGCUUUUUAUCUCUCCUUCCAUUUUGAAUGAGAGCCUUGCUGGAUAAAGUAUUCUUGGUUGCAUGUUCUUCUCAUUUAGGACCCUGAAUAUAUCCUGCCAGCCCUUUCUGGCCUGCCAGGUCUCUGUGGAGAGGUUUUGCUGUUACCCUAAUACUCCUCCCCAUAAAAGUCAGGGAUUUCUUGUCUCUUGCUGCUUUAAGGAUCUUCUCCUUAUCUUUGGAAUUUGCAAGCUUCACAAUUAAAUGUCGAGGUUUUUGAAGGGUUUUUUUUAUUGAUUUUAGGGGGGGAUCUCUUAUUUUCCGGAUCUGAAUGCCUGUUUCCCUUCCCAGAUUAGGAAAGUUUUCAGCUAGAAUUUGUUCAAAUACAUAUUCUGGCCCUCUGUCCCUUUCGGCGCCCUCGGGAACCCCAAUUAAACGUAGGUUUUUCUUCCUCAGGCUGUCGUUUAUUUCCCUUAAUCAUCUUCAUGGUCUUUUAAUUGUUUGCUCUUUUUCCUCAGUUUCCCUCUUUGCUAUCAACUUGUCUUCUAGGUCACUCACUCUUCUUCCACCUCGUUAACCCUCGUCGUUAGGACUUCUAGUUUGGAUUGCAUCUCAUUCAAUUGAUUUUUAAUUUCUGCCUGAUUAGCUCUAAAUUCGCAGUCAUGAAGUCUCUUGAGUCCUUUAUACUUUUUUCUAGAGCCACCAGUAGCUGUUUUAAUAGUGCUUCUGAAUUGGCUUUCUGACAUUGAAUUGUAAUCCAGAUUUUGUAACUCUGUGGGAGGAGAGGACUGUUUUUUGAUUCUUUCUUUUGAGGUGAGGUUUUCCUUCUAGUCCUUUUGCUCAGUGCAGAGUGGCCAAAAGCAAGUUGUAUUGGGAAAAAGAGAAAAAGAGAGGAGAGAAAGAAGGAAAGAAAAGAGAAAGGAAAAAAAAGGGAAGAAAAAAAAAAAAACGAAAAAAAAAAAAAAAAAA